GAUGAACGCUGGCGGCGUGCCUAAUACAUGCAAGUCGAGCGAACAGACGAGGAGCUUGCUCCUCUGACGUUAGCGGCGGACGGGUGAGUAACACGUGGAUAGCCUACCUAUAAGACUGGGAUAACUUCGGGAAACCGGAGCUAAUACCGGAUAAUAUGUUGAAUCGCAUGGUUCAACAGUGAAAGACGGUCUUGCUGUCACUUAUAGAUGGAUCCGCGCCGCAUUAGCUAGUUGGUAAGGUAACGGCUUACCAAGGCAACGAUGCGUAGCCGACCUGAGAGGGUGAUCGGCCACACUGGAACUGAGACACGGUCCAGACUCCUACGGGAGGCAGCAGUAGGGAAUCUUCCGCAAUGGGCGAAAGCCUGACGGAGCAACGCCGCGUGAGUGAAGAAGGUCUUCGGAUCGUAAAACUCUGUUAUUAGGGAAGAACAAAUGUGUAAGUAACUAUGCACGUCUUGACGGUACCUAAUCAGAAAGCCACGGCUAACUACGUG
Molecule: ribosomal RNA, 497 nt
Filed under: uncultured bacterium
Lineage: Bacteria
Description: partial 16S ribosomal RNA
Rfam family: Bacterial small subunit ribosomal RNA
Source: RNAcentral